CUACCAUGCAGUCGACGGUAACAGGACUAGCUUGCUAGUUGCUGACGAGUGGCGCACGGGUGAGUAACAUAUAGGUAACGUGCCUCUUAGUCUGGGAUAGCCACUGGAAACGGUGAUUAAUACCGGAUACACCUUUUAAUUUGAUGUUAAAAGGGAAAGGUUUUUCGCUAAGAGAUCGGCCUAUAUUGUAUCAGCUAGUUGGUGAGGUAAGAGCUCACCAAGGCAAUGACACAUAGCGGGUUUGAGAGGAUGAUCCGCCACACUGGUACUGAGACACGGACCAGACUCCUACGGGAGGCAGCAGUGAGGAAUAUUGCACAAUGGAGGAAACUCUGAUGCAGCAACGCCGCGUGGAGGAUGACGCAUUUCGGUGUGUAAACUCCUUUUAUAAGAGAAGAAAAUGACGGUAUCUUAUGAAUAAGUCCCGGCUAACUCCGUGCCAGCAGCCGCGGUAAUACGGAGGGGACAAGCGUUAUUCGGAAUCACUGGGCGUAAAGGACGCGUAGGCGGGACAGUAAGUCAGGUGUGAAAUCCUAUGGCUCAACCAUAGAACUGCAUUUGAAACUAAUCGUCUAGAGUAUGGGAGGGGGAGAUGGAAUUAGUGGUGUAGGGGGUAAAAUCCGUAGAUAUCACUAGGAAUACCGAAAGCGAAGGCGAUCUCCUGGAACAUUACUGACGCUAAGGCGUGAAAGCGUGGGGAGCAAACGGGAUUAG
RNAcentral lists this ribosomal RNA (714 nucleotides) under uncultured bacterium. Its description in RNAcentral is "bacterial SSU rRNA". It matches the Rfam family "Bacterial small subunit ribosomal RNA", at positions 49 to 781 of the family's 1533-position model. The record is from RNAcentral.